Molecule: ribosomal RNA, 396 nt
Filed under: uncultured bacterium
Lineage: Bacteria
Description: bacterial SSU rRNA
Rfam family: Bacterial small subunit ribosomal RNA
Source: RNAcentral
AAUCAACGCUGGCGGCGUGCCUAACACAUGCAAGUCGAACGCGAGAGGGGCUUCGGCCCCGAUUGAGUGGCGAACGGGUGAGUAACGCGUGGGUGACCUACCUUCGAGUGGGGGAUAACGUCCCGAAAGGGACGCUAAUACCGCAUAACAUCCUGCUUUUGAAUGGGUGGAGAUCAAAGCCGGGAUCGCAAGACCUGGCGCUUGAUGAGGGGCCCGNGUCUGAUUAGCUAGUUGGGAGGUAACGGCCACCAAGGCAACGAUCAGUAUCCGGCCUGAGAGGGCGGACGGACACACUGGGACUGAGACACGGCCCAGACUCCUACGGGAGGCAGCAGUGGGAAUUGUUCGCAAUGGGCGCAAGCCUGACGACGCAACGCCGCGUGGAGGAUGAAGGUC